This 462-nucleotide ribosomal RNA is filed under the name uncultured bacterium. RNAcentral describes it as "partial 16S ribosomal RNA". It matches the Rfam family "Bacterial small subunit ribosomal RNA", at positions 28 to 507 of the family's 1533-position model. The record is from RNAcentral.
GACGAACGCUGGCGGCGUGCUUAACACAUGCAAGUCGAGCGGUAAGGCCUUUCGGGGUACACGAGCGGCGAACGGGUGAGUAACACGUGGGUGAUCUGCCCUGCACUUCGGGAUAAGCCUGGGAAACUGGGUCUAAUACCGGAUAUGACCUCCUAUCGCAUGGUGGGUGGUGGAAAGAUUUAUCGGUGCAGGAUGGGCCCGCGGCCUAUCAGCUUGUUGGUGGGGUAAUGGCCUACCAAGGCGACGACGGGUAGCCGACCUGAGAGGGUGACCGGCCACACUGGGACUGAGACACGGCCCAGACGCCUACGGGAGGCAGCAGUGGGGAAUAUUGCACAAUGGGCGGAAGCCUGAUGCAGCGACGCCGCGUGGGGGAUGACGGCCUUCGGGUUGUAAACCUCUUUCAGCAGGGACGAAGCGCAAGUGACGGUACCUGCAGAAGAAGCACCGGCUAACUACGUG